Molecule: long non-coding RNA, 2539 nt
Filed under: Oryctolagus cuniculus (rabbit)
Lineage: Eukaryota; Metazoa; Chordata; Mammalia; Lagomorpha; Leporidae
Description: lncRNA (ENSOCUG00000039570.1)
Source: RNAcentral
AUGCCAGUGUUUUUCCACAUGCAUGAUCCUUUUACAUUUCACCUUCCAAACGACAGGCUGAAAGAUCCCUCCCACGUGGAUGAAUUGACCCGUGCCAUGGAUUCAGAGGAGCCCCGUGAUGAUUUAUCUCACCUCCCGGGUGACCUUCCUCUUCCUCUCAUCAUCAUCCUCAUCUUCACCAUCAUCUCAUCAUGGUUAUCAAUGUCAUCAGCGUGGGUUGAAUGGUUGCCCGAAUGGAAAGUUCCAGUCCUGAUGCAUGGAAACUGUGAGUGUGACCUUAUUGGGAUACAGGGACUUUGCCUAGGUCAUCAAGCAAAGGUGAGACUGUGCUGGCUUGGGGUGUCAUGGAGCCAGGUCUUCCUAAGAGGAGGGGGGGCGGCAAGUUGGAGACAGAGACAGAGAGGACACCCACAGGGACCGGGCCAUGUCAUGAUGGAGGUGGAGACUGGUAUGGCGCUGUCACAAACCAAGCGAUGCCACAGGUUACCAGCAGCCUCCAGCAGCUACAGGAAGCAAGGGAGGACUCUCCCCUAGCACCUUUGCAGGAAGUGUGGCUCUGCAGACACCUUGGUUCCAAAUUUCUAGCCUCUGGAACUGUGGGUGACAAACUGUUGUGUUUCCUUAUCUAAUUUUAAUUAACAAAUGAUCAUUGUGUAUAUUUAUGGGGUGCAUGGGAUGUUUUGAUCUAUGUGGACAUUAUUGAAAGACUCAAGAAAGCUGAUUAACCUGUCUGUCACCUCACCCAUUCAGCAUUUCUUUUGUGGAGACAGUGUUAAACACCUAUUCUUUUAAUAAGUUUGAAAUGCAUGGGAUGUGGCUGUUAAGUGUGGUCACAGUGCAAUGUCCCAGGUCGCUGGAAUGUAUCCCUCCUGUCUAACUGGGACUUGCUACCCUUGAUCAACAUCUCCCUUUUCCCAUCCCUCCCACUCCUCCCCAGCCUCUGCUGAGCACAUUUCUCCUCUCAGUUUCUGUGAGAUCAGCUUCUUUAGAUUGAGAUCCAAGCUUGUUUCACUUAGCAUAAUAUCCUCCAGAUCCAUCCGUGGGGUCAGAAUGGACAGUCUCCUUUAUUAAGGCCGUAUAGUAUUCCAAUUGUGUGUAUGCCACGUUCUCCUUAUUUAUUCAUCAUUGAUGGGCACUUAGGUUGCUGUCGUAUCUUGGCUACUGUGAGCAGUACUGAAAUGAACAUGAGAGUGCAGGUGUCUCUUCAACACACCAAUUUUAACCAUUCUGGAAAGUAGUAUAGAGAGCUCUCAAAAAACCUAAAAAUAGAACCUGAUGUGAUUCAACAGUUUCACGUCUGGGUACAGGUCCGCAGUUCUGUGUUUGAAAGCCACCCGCUCUGUGGCAAUAUUUUACAGCAGGCGUAGGAGACUAACACAGCAUUAUCACCAUCUAAUCAAUCUUUAUGUUGCAGUAUCACAGUAUUUAUCGUAUUAUCAUGAUGGGAACUAGUAUUUACAUGUAGCGAGGGAAACUAAUGUUUGGGAAACUCUAGCUUCAUCUCAUUUUACAAUGAGAAACUUAAGAAUGAGGGUAGCUAUGAUCCAAAUGUUUAUGUCCCCUCAAAUUGAUAUAUUAAAAUCCUAACCCCAGUGGUGAUGGUACUAGGAGGUGUAGUUUUAGGAGGUAAUUAGAUUAUGAGGGUAGGGCUCUCAUAAUUGGCACUAUUACCCUUUCCAAAGAGACCUCCAGAAAGCCCUUUGCCCCUCCCAGUAGAAGAGGAUAUAGAGAGAAGGUGCUAUGAACCAGAAAUCCAGCCAUCAGGAGCAGCAGAUCCACGAGCAACCUGACCUGGGGCUUUCCGCCCUCCAGGAGUGUGAGAAAUAAGCAUCUGUUGAUUAUAAGCCCAGCUUAUGCUAUUUUGCUAUAGCAGUCGACAGAGAGCACACACUUGACUCUAAGUCAUAGAAUGGAUGUCGGGUCACAUCUGGACUUGUAACUCAGCUCUCCUCCCCUGCACUCUUAAUAAUAAGCCAUGGAAUUUUAACUAUCAAUGUCUCAGAGAUCACCUAGUCCAAAUCCUUCCUGGGGAAACUGAGGUUCCACAAGAAGUGACUUGCCAACGUCACUAAGAAAGCUACUACAUUUUUCCUACACGCAAAAGCCCCCAAAUUACCCAGCGAUCUUUGUGAAAUAAUAGGUGAUGCUGCCCCUAGUGGCAGAGAUCUGCAAACACACACGACCACAGCACAGACAUCAUCCACAUUUUUUUUUUUUACAGAUGGAAGAUGAUUUAUUUCACAGCACACACAUUUUAAAGGUAAAUUUCCUAACAAAAAUAAUGAGCCACAGACCACACAGAUUCUCAGCAGGAAAGUAAGGUUAAUUCUUUAAUAUAUUAGAUUUAAGUUUAUGAUUACUCUAACUUUGCUAUGGAACAUUAAUCAUCAAUAGUAAAGUAUUUCUUUGAGCUGAUUUUAUAUAUUUUUUCUGGGAUAAUGCAAUAUUACUGCUCACUUAGAGCUAACAAUUUUCUAUUGAAUUUUAAUACACUGUAAAAAUAUAUUUAAAUAAACCAGAAGUAAUAUUUCUCCUGACA